GGCAUGUUCCCUAAAAAAAACCCUCAACUUUAUACAAAAAUAUAGCAAGUCAGCGAAUGCCAACAAGCUAGUGAACCAACGCCAAGCCUGAAUCACGCCACAAACACUGACUGUGCCCCAGAUUGGAAGGAAACUCCGUAUAGGACAACCAGAGUGCUUCGGCAUACCCUCCUUCUCCCGGACCCGCGCAAGGAAGACUAGCCUGUCCCCCUGCUCGAGGACGGCACACAGAGUCUCCCUGUGUUCCGCAUUGCGUUGACCUUCACUCUGGCUCUGGCAGGAAAUUAUGGAGCCACGGAGUGAAACAAUCCAGGAAGCACCUUCGGGAAUGAGGGGAGCUGGCAACGCCCAGAAAACGCCACUGUUCUAAAGGCGACACGGCCACCAGAGACAGAAGAGGUACAAGCCUUUAAGGCCCGCUGAGACAACAGAUCAGACUUCAAAGAUAACUCCUGGAGUGAAGAGAUUCAAACUUCAAAUGGAUUUUUUUUAAGCGCACAUACCCUGCAAUCGCGUCCCUGAUAGCGUGGUGGCAGGUCUCUGCCACCGUUUCUGAGUUAACACGUGGAGAUAAGUGCUAACCGAGGCAAGAAUGUUAUCCACCAAACUCCACACUGCUCCCAUUGUCUGCUGCCUCCCCGACCUCCCACCCCCGGCAAGAGUGGGAACCAGUUAACCCAGAGAAAGCCCUCCUGACCCGGCCUUGAGAAAACAAAGACACAAGAUUCCGUGUUAUUUAUUAUUAAAUGCUUGCACCGAGCACUGACUGUCAACCCUUGUAUAAAGGACAAAAAAAAAAAAAAAAAAAAGGCAAUGAAACCAGCCGGUGUGUGGCACAUUUUAUGCUGAAAUCGCUACCUGACGGGCAUGCUCCAACAGAACCAGAGUUCACGACCUUAACUAAACUACUUCUAUGGAGAAUCUUUUUUCCUGCUCAUUAAUUUUGCAAUGAAUUGAUUUACUCAGUUGUCCGGAGAAGUAUCCUAUUAUAUUAGAGAAGAAACGAGUUAAGAAAUUCCUUCCAAGUGUUAAACAAGCUCUCUCCAUCUUCCUCGGGAGACCAUGCUCAUCUAGCUCACGCACAUGUUACUGACGGAUGGGACUCACUACACUCUUCAGCCCGGGUAUAACUUACAGACUCUCCGGUGACUGGCUUCGGCUAACUUCAGCAUUCACAAAGGCAGGCUUAGCUUUGUUCACUAACAAUAACUUCCUUAAAAGACUACGUUAUUCUUAGAGCUGUAGUGCUGUCAUUGCUCUGUGCCAGAAAUAGCCUCAAAUACAUGUCAAUCAAUUCCUUAUGUCCAAAAGGAAAGAAAAAAAAAACACAAGAAGCCCACCAACCCUACAGCCAACAGUGCCUUUACUGUACUCUACAACAUUAAUCCAGUUUAAAAAUUAAAAGCUCUAGAAGACA
Molecule: long non-coding RNA, 1417 nt
Organism: Mesocricetus auratus (golden hamster)
Lineage: Eukaryota; Metazoa; Chordata; Mammalia; Rodentia; Cricetidae
Exons: 2
Source: RefSeq, a predicted model, not a curated record